This 496-nucleotide ribosomal RNA is filed under the name uncultured bacterium. Its description in RNAcentral is "partial 16S ribosomal RNA". It matches the Rfam family "Bacterial small subunit ribosomal RNA", at positions 29 to 523 of the family's 1533-position model. The record is from RNAcentral.
AUUGAACGCUGGCGGCAUGCUUUACACACGCAAGUCGAACGGUAGAGGGGGCAACCCCUUGAGAGUGGCGAACGGGUGAGUAAUGCAUCGGAACGUGCCCAGUCGCGGGGGAUAACGCAGCGAAAGCUGUGCUAAUACCGCAUACGAUCUCUGGAUGAAAGCGGGGGACCGAAAGGCCUCGCGCGAUUGGCGCGGCCGAUGUCAGAUUAGGUAGUUGGUGGGGUAAAGGCUCACCAAGCCAACGAUCUGUAGCUGGUCUGAGAGGACGACCAGGCACACUGGGACUGAGACGCGACCCAGACUCCUACGGGAGGCAGCAGUGGGGAAUUUUGGACAAUGGGCGCAAGCCUGAUCCAGCAAUUCCGCGUGCAGGAAGAAGGCCUUCGGGUUGUAAGCUGCUUUUGUACGGAACGAAAAGGUCUGGGUUAAUACCCUGGGCACAUGACGGUACCGUAAGAAUAAGCACCGGCUAACUACGUGCCAGCCGCCGCAGUAA